GCCUGGCGUUCGUUCAAUUCCCUUGGAAUGUAUCGCAGCCGUGGGACGUCUCUUUGCCGGGGAACUAGAUUACACGCCGAAUGAUUUUAGUAGAAUGCACGAUGGGACGUUAGAUUUGAAGCUGAUUAUCGUGGGCCAAGCUGAAUCAGCGAUCAAUAUCCAUAGGCCGAGGACGCAUAACAGCGACGCAGCUUGCGGCUCGUUUCAUUUAGCACGUCACUUUAACGAAGUUAAUACUUCGCGAGUCCAUGCUGUAUAAUGCCC
RNAcentral lists this unclassified non-coding RNA (264 nucleotides) under Bombus terrestris (buff-tailed bumblebee). RNAcentral describes it as "misc RNA ENSBTSG00005034851.1". Lineage: Eukaryota; Metazoa; Arthropoda; Insecta; Hymenoptera; Apidae. The record is from RNAcentral.